Leopardus geoffroyi (Geoffroy's cat) is the source of this 135-nucleotide long non-coding RNA. RefSeq lists it as uncharacterized. The transcript is spliced from 2 exons. Lineage: Eukaryota; Metazoa; Chordata; Mammalia; Carnivora; Felidae. The record is from RefSeq and is a predicted model, not a curated record.
GAUACCAAGGGACUAAGAAAUAGUCAUGAGAAGCUAAAAAAUGCUAUAAAUGAGGUGCAAAAUAAAAUGGAGGCAUCUACAGUGCAGAUUGAAGAGGCAAAAGAGACAACAGGUGAAUUAGAAGAUAAAAUUAUG